CGGGACGGGUGAGUAAUGUCUAGGGAAACUGCCUGAUGGAGGGGGAUAACUACGGGAAACGGUAGCUAAUACCGCAUAACGUCGCAAGACCAAAGAGGGGGACCUUCGGGCCUCUUGCCAUCGGAUGUGCCCAGAUGGGAUUAGCUAGUAGGUGGGGUAACGGCUCACCUAGGCGACGAUCCCUAGCUGGUCUGAGAGGAUGACCAGCCACACUGGAACUGAGACACGGUCCAG
This 234-nucleotide ribosomal RNA is filed under the name uncultured bacterium. RNAcentral's name for it is "partial 16S ribosomal RNA". It matches the Rfam family "Bacterial small subunit ribosomal RNA", at positions 100 to 334 of the family's 1533-position model. The record is from RNAcentral.